Long non-coding RNA from Pseudophryne corroboree (corroboree frog), 470 nucleotides. RefSeq lists it as uncharacterized. The record is from RefSeq and is a predicted model, not a curated record. The transcript is spliced from 3 exons. Lineage: Eukaryota; Metazoa; Chordata; Amphibia; Anura; Myobatrachidae.
UGUGUAUGUCUUUUAUCCACAAACUCGAGUUAUGAUUAGGUGAAAGAAUAAUCUAACAUAUGUACUAAUGUGGACUAUAUCUGUUUUUCAGGUGAUGGGGGUUACGGCUGCUACUCUUGGCUCCUUACUCCAUUGUCCCAACCUGAUUCUCCUGCUGAACACAGUUACAAUCAUGCACAUAAGGCUACGCGGAAUGUGAUAGAAAGAUGUUUUGGUGUGCUGAAGUCACGGUUUCGGUGUCUGGAUAAAUCUGCUGGCCUUUUGUUGUAUAGUCCCUCAAAGAUAACUGAGGGGAUCGGGGCUCAUCACUCUGCGAACUCGCCAAUAGUGCCAGUGGUGGCUGGGGUGACACUGCCGAAAGUCGUCGCCUGGGUGGGGAUGAUGGAGCCGCAGAUUCCGAGCCAAGACGCCGUGUCUUACUUGGCCUCCUGGAAUAUGUGACUACACUGAAGUCUUACCUGCAAUCCCAG